Molecule: ribosomal RNA, 454 nt
Filed under: uncultured Prevotellaceae bacterium
Lineage: Bacteria; Pseudomonadati; Bacteroidota; Bacteroidia; Bacteroidales; Prevotellaceae
Description: partial 16S ribosomal RNA
Rfam family: Bacterial small subunit ribosomal RNA
Source: RNAcentral
ACGGGAGGCAGCAGUGAGGAAUAUUGGUCAAUGGGCGAGAGCCUGAACCAGCCAAGUAGCGUGAAGGAUGACGGCCCUACGGGUUGUAAACUUCUUUUGCCGGGGGAUAAAAAACGGGACGUGUCCCGUCUUGCAGGUACCCGUGCGAAUAAGGACCGGCUAAUUCCGUGCCAGCAGCCGCGGUAAUACGGAAGGUCCGAGCGUUAUCCGGAUUUAUUGGGUUUAAAGGGAGCGUAGGCGGGCCUUUAAGUCAGUGGUCAAAGCGUGUGACUCAACCAUACCACGCCGUUGAUACUGGAGGCCUUGAGUGCACAUAAGGAUGGUGGAAUUCAUGGUGUAGCGGUGAAAUGCUUAGAUAUCAUAAAGAACUCCGAUUGCGAAGGCAGCUGUCCGGGGUGUAACUGACGCUAAUGCUCGAAAGUGCGGGUAUCAAACAGGAUUAGAUACACUGGUA